AUUGAACGCUGGCGGCAGGCCUAACACAUGCAAGUCGAACGAGUGGCGGACGGGUGAGUAAUUUCUGGGAAACUGCCUGAUGGAGGGGGAUAACUACUGGAAACGGUAGCUAAUACCGCAUACCAUCAGAUGUGCCCAGCUGGGAGUAGCUAGUUGGUGGGGUAACGGCUCACCAAGGCGACGAUCCCUAGCUGGUCUGAGAGGAUGACCAGCCAAACUGGAACUGUGACACGGUGCAGACUCCUACGGGAGGCAGCGGUGGUGAAUAUUGCACAAGGGGCGCAAGCCUGAUGCAGCCAUGCCGCGUGUAUGAAGAAGGCCUUCGGGUUGUAAAGUACGUUCAGCGGGGAGGCGUUACCCGCAGAAGAAGCACCGGCUAACUCCGUGCCAGCAGCCGCGGUAAUUC
RNAcentral lists this ribosomal RNA (406 nucleotides) under uncultured bacterium. RNAcentral's name for it is "partial 16S ribosomal RNA". It matches the Rfam family "Bacterial small subunit ribosomal RNA", at positions 30 to 526 of the family's 1533-position model. The record is from RNAcentral.